GGGAAACAAAUUUCUGUUUGCUUUCUCACACUAGAGGCCCUGUCUGCAAGCCCAGUGUCCGUUGUUGGCCGUAUAGACAACGAUAUCUGCUAGAAGAAGGGGAUGCAAGGCGGACGAUACCUCAGCUUUCAAGGAGGUAUUUCGACCAAUAAGUUCUGCAUUGGUUGUUUCCAAGUAUUUCACCCUCUUUGCCAAAGACCCAUUGGUCCUUUUUCAACUGCUUAAUCUUAAAGAUCCUUAGCUGCGAUUACAGCAAUCUUCUCCUUGAGUUCUUUCUGUUGUAGCAGUAUCUUGGUUUGCUCAGCUGAGAGUAUUGAGCCAACUUCAGUGAACUUGAAGAGUAUGUUUUUGAAAGAUUAAUCAUGGAUCUUUCUUGAUAUGUAAAAGUUCUGAUCAAAUAUUUUUAGUGUCUGUGA
Molecule: small RNA, 416 nt
Filed under: Histoplasma ohiense
Lineage: Eukaryota; Fungi; Ascomycota; Eurotiomycetes; Onygenales; Ajellomycetaceae
Description: hypothetical lncRNA
Source: RNAcentral